AAAUCACAAUGCGGAACAAUGUUUUGCAAUUGGAUUGAGAACAACGUACAAACCUUAUCGAUAAACAAUUGGAGGGCAAGUCUGGUGCCAGCAGCCGCGGUAAUUCCAGCUCCAAUAGCGUAUAUUAACGUUGUUGCAGUUAAAAAGCUCGUAGUUGAAAUGAAGGGUAGUUGUGUAAUGAAUACAUUCGUGUAUUUUGUUAUUCUACUACCCUCCUUCUAAAUUCGAUAUAUGAGUAUUAAUUUACUUGUAUAUGGUUUUAGACUUUUACUGUGAGAAAAUUAGAGUGUUCAAAGCAGGCAUUUGCUUGAAUAUAUUAGCAUGGAAUAAUCAUGUAUGAUUUUCAUGAUGUAUUUGAUUGGUUUGGUUCAUGAGAAUAAGAUUAAAAGGGACAGUUGGGGGUAUUCAUAUUCAAUAGUCAGAGGUGAAAUUCUCGGAUUUAUGGAAGAU
RNAcentral lists this ribosomal RNA (450 nucleotides) under Blastocystis sp. RNAcentral describes it as "SSU rRNA". It matches the Rfam family "Eukaryotic small subunit ribosomal RNA", at positions 475 to 936 of the family's 1831-position model. The record is from RNAcentral. Lineage: Eukaryota; Bigyra; Opalinata; Blastocystidae.